GACGAACGCUGGCGGCGUGCCUAAUACAUGCAAGUAGAACGCAGUUGCGAACGGGAGAGUAACGCGUAGGUAACCUGCCUCAUAGCGGGGGAUAACUACUGGCAACGAUAGCUAAUACAGCAUACUGUGAGAUGGACCUGCGUUGUAUUAGCUAGUUGGUGAGGUAAAGGCUCACGAUGGGGACGAUACAAAGCCGACUUGAGAGGAUGAUCCGACACACUGGGAAUGAGACACGGCCCAGACUCCUGCGUGAGACAGCAAUAGGGAUACUGCGCCAAUGGACGCGAGUCUGACCGAGCACCGCCGCGUGAGUGAAGAGGGUUUUCGGAUCGUUAAGCUCUGUUGUUAGAGAAGCCAUAACUAACCAAAAAGGGACGGGUAACUACGUGCCAGCGGCCGCGGUAAUUC
RNAcentral lists this ribosomal RNA (408 nucleotides) under uncultured bacterium. RNAcentral describes it as "partial 16S ribosomal RNA". It matches the Rfam family "Bacterial small subunit ribosomal RNA", at positions 28 to 526 of the family's 1533-position model. The record is from RNAcentral.